Molecule: long non-coding RNA, 403 nt
Organism: Capsella rubella
Lineage: Eukaryota; Viridiplantae; Streptophyta; Magnoliopsida; Brassicales; Brassicaceae
Exons: 2
Source: RefSeq, a predicted model, not a curated record
UCAAAUUCAUCACUUUUCUUUCUAAUACAAGCGUGACAAAUAAGAAGGGAGAGAUGAUAGCAGAAGCAGAAACAGAGUCUUCCCAGUGUUGGUUCUAGAGUUACGUCCGCCGGCAAAUCUCAACGUUUCUUCUCCUCUACGCGCAAAUGAAAGGAGAUGAUGAGUCAGGAUGAGAAAUGGAGAAAACGGUGAAGCAAAAUCCUGAGAAGAAGAACGGAGAGAAAAUAGCGCUUGAGCAAAGGCAAUUUCUUGCAAAACUGCAGAAUAGGGAAAUUAAAUGGGAAAAAUGUCAAAAAAAUCUCCAACUUUCAAAUUGUAGACGAAAAAAUCAUGAAUUUUCGAAAGGUCAUUUAAAUCUUAAACUUUUAUUUGACUUUCGAAUAAAAUGGUGAAGUUUUAUUGA